GAGUUUGAUCUUGGCUCAGAUUGAACGCUGGCGGCAUGCCUUACACAUGCAAGUCGAACGGCAGCACGGGAGCUUGCUCCUGGUGGCGAGUGGCGAACGGGUGAGUAAUGCAUCGGAACGUAUCCUGGAGUGGGGGGAUAACGUAGCGAAAGUUACGCUAAUACCGCAUAUUCUGUGAGCAGGAAAGCGGGGGACCUUCGGGCCUCGCGCUCUUGGAGCGGCCGAUGUCGGAUUAGCUAGUUGGUGAGGUAAAGGCUCACCAAGGCGACGAUCCGUAGCAGGUCUGAGAGGAUGAUCUGCCACACUGGAACUGAGACACGGUCCAGACUCCUACGGGAGGCAGCAGUGGGGAAUUUUGGACAAUGGGGGCAACCCUGAUCCAGCCAUGCCGCGUGAGUGAAGAAGGCCUCGGUUGUAAG
Molecule: ribosomal RNA, 419 nt
Filed under: bacterium enrichment culture clone ALO1_GLFRUDD03FZUS4
Lineage: Bacteria
Also listed under: 1 other name
Description: bacterial SSU rRNA
Rfam family: Bacterial small subunit ribosomal RNA
Source: RNAcentral